Molecule: long non-coding RNA, 1217 nt
Filed under: Gossypium raimondii (Peruvian cotton)
Lineage: Eukaryota; Viridiplantae; Streptophyta; Magnoliopsida; Malvales; Malvaceae
Description: long non-coding RNA (GRAI_LNC009552)
Source: RNAcentral
UAAAAUAUAUUAUAUAUAUAAUUCACGUGUAAUCACUGAAUUUUGGCCGGGUUGGAUUUUGGGCCAGGCUGGCCUCGUAUGGGCCCAAUGAUCGGGCCCAUUAAAAUUUAAUUUUGAACUUGUUUUAGCCCAUUUUUAAUUGCUGUUUUAAAUAUUAAUAAAAUAGUAGUAAAAAAAUCUCAAAAAAAUAUAAAAAAAUACAAAAAAUAUAAAUUACAUUUUAACCCCUCUACUUUUUAAAAUUUACAUUUUGACCCCAAAAUUUUCUUUAAAUUACAUAUUGACCCCUAAUAUUUCGUAAAUUACAUUCGGGCCCCUAAACUUUCCAGAAAUUACAUUUUAGCCCCAUAUUUUCCUAAAAUUACGUUUUUGCCCCAAAAACUUUGCACACUCUACAAUUCAGUCCUUCUGGGCAUGACAAGAUUGGCCCCAACCAGCAUCCGGGCGUGCACCGCACCCUACGCCUGACACCGCCAAUCAGCCAUGCUCCCCACCUCCAUGCCUCCUGAAAACAAGAAGGAAAACGACAGGAAAUUGAAGCAUUUAAAAGAAAAUUGAAGGAAAGGGAAGGGGGGAUUUUUUCGGCAACCAAAGAAACAAAAAAAAUAGCAGAGAAAAAAGAAAAAAUAGCAGCAAGCAAAGCCUCCACCAUUGCCCUGGUGGAAACACCACCACCGCAACCACCAUCACUACAACCACCAAAGCCACCACCUAAAAAACCCAAUCAAGAAGCAAUAAGAAUUUGAGAAAACCCAAGAAAAAGCUUCCAAAAAUCAGCAGCCAAGAACCUUUUAAAAAAAAAAUCAUUUACCUUGGAAUCGCCGGUCACCGAGUGUGGAGAGGAGCCGAGGGCGGAGGAGGUCGGCGCAAGUGGCGGCGGCGGUUAUGGGUCUUGGGGAAUAAGAGAAGAAGAAGAAAGAAAGGAGGGAAGAAGAAAGGAGAGAAAAAAAAUAGAAAAAGAAAGAAAAUAAAAUAAAAUAAAAAGAUAAACAAAAAAAAAAUCAGUCGGGUCAAUCCGACCCGACCCGUCCGACCCGCGACCCGACAACAGGCCGAAUCAGCAGCAGCAAGAUACCCAGCAAGCCCAGCAAAUUAGGCCCAAAAAGGGUAGCCCAAGAGAAAAAAAACAAGCAGCAAAAAAAAAAACAAAGCAAAGCAGAAAAAAUAAAGGAGGAGCAGGCCCAAGCUGUUCCAAGCCCAGCGCCAGAAGCGGGCCA